This 1458-nucleotide long non-coding RNA is filed under the name Capra hircus (goat). Its description in RNAcentral is "lncRNA (ENSCHIG00010004493.1)". The record is from RNAcentral. Lineage: Eukaryota; Metazoa; Chordata; Mammalia; Artiodactyla; Bovidae.
AUGCCCGAAGGCUCAGACGUGCCUGCGACUGGCUCCGUCAGGAGGAAACUUGGAGCCCGGGCAGAGGCAGGGUCCUGGUCUGUGCAGGGUCCCCAGGUCCUGGGGGGGUCCUGCUCUGUGCGGGGUCCCCAGGUCCUGAGGGGGGGCACUUCUGGUCUGUGCGGGGUCCCCAGGUCCUUGGGGGGGUUCCUGGUCUGUGCAGGGUCCCUGGGUCCUGGGGGUGGGGGUCGGGUCCUGGUCUGUGUGGGGUCCGAGAGCAGCAGGAAGCUGGCUCUCACAAGGAGAGGAACUGCCAGGCUUUGUCCGGGAGCCUUGGUCUGUGCUAUGGGCCUGUGUGUGGCUCCCGUGUCGACACGGAUGCGUGUCCACCAGGCCCGGUGGCCCGGACCACAGGGUGAGAGCCGUCUUCACGUCCGCCUGCAGGUCUUAGUCUGGGUCUCCUGCAAAACCGGCCACUUGGCAGGGGAACCGGUUAGCGGCCGCUCGGCAGGCGUCAGCCCUGUAGACGUUGCUCCCAGGACGCCGAGGACCCUGGGCGUCUCCACUGCCUUGGUGGCAGGUGAGGUGCCCGCUUGUCCGUCCUCCAGGAGGGCGUCCAGGCCUGCAUGGUGCUGGGUUUACGCUGCAGCCCGUGGCCGUCCACACUCCGUCAGGCCAUCUUGGCCGCCGUGUUUGCUGCCCGUGUCAUGCCAUCGACGGUGCCGCGUGGACGGGGGGCCGCGGGUUCCAGGCUCUGCUGACCCCUGGAGACUUGGCAGAGCCCUCAUGAGGCCGCGGAGACGGAACCGGAGCGCUGCUGUGGGCUCGGCCGCGGGCGUGUGGCGGGGUGCCCGCCCGGGGGUGUGGACUGGAGGCCAGGGCUGUGGCGAUCUGUCCUGGAGCGGCGUCGCGGUCGGGGUUGCGUCUGAUUACAUGGCCCCCGUCCGCGCCUCCCUGCAGCGGCCCCUCUGCUCCGCAGGCCACGGGCUGCGGGCCACAAGACCCCGGUGGCUCUCAGCGCACCACCGGCUUCAGGGUCAUGGGCAGAGUUCAUUCUGCCUGCUUCUACUCUGCCCUUCCCGCCAUGGCCGAGAGCCCGGGGACCCACCAUCCCUCACGGCGGGGUCUGGGUCUGAGCUGGGGCCGGGGCCACAGGAGGGUCGGGGCGCUCUGCUGCCUAUCUGCUCGCAGCCAGCCCCCCAGCCCUUCCGUGGAUCGAGGGCGGCCUCAGCAGCGCUCCUGCCUGCCUGGCUAAGGGGCGAGGUAGCCCAGAGGCCUCUUGGCUGCGUCUCUCUGACCGGCUUUGCUUGCAGCCGUCACAGGACCAGGCGGGCGAGCAGGCCUGGAGAGACGCCCCAGCCUUUGGGCGUCAGCGUCGCUUCCCAGAGCAGACCAGCCGCUCCUGUCUCGGGGCUUCCUCGUGGGCUGAUGGGGAUUCUGAUGCCGGUGAGCUUCCUCCAUGGGCUGCUUUCUCCGUGA